Molecule: long non-coding RNA, 774 nt
Organism: Mercenaria mercenaria
Lineage: Eukaryota; Metazoa; Mollusca; Bivalvia; Venerida; Veneridae
Exons: 4
Source: RefSeq, a predicted model, not a curated record
AGAUACAAUGACAAUCAGAGAUUUUAUGCUAAAUGGGCAUGUGAUGCUUGGAUGUGUCCCUUCAAACCAAGUCCACGUUUAAAAUUUGCUGAAUAGCGACAUUGUUUGGGAAAAAUACUCUGGCAGAAAAGAGUCUAAACUGUGGAUAGACAUCAGUCAUCACUCAGAGUCUGACAUCUGUCUGUUUAUUUCCAUAAGUGAACUUUGUAUCAACUGACUGAAGGAUCAGUGUUAAAGGAUAACACUACAAUGAAAACAGCUGUGAGUUGUUUCUUUUGAAAAUGACUGCUUGAUGAUAAAGUUUCAAACAACUAUGAAGUGAGUGGAUGCUCUAGAGAGACUAAUUCUUCAAUGAAUGAAUGAUCAUCAUCAUCCUUAUAUUGGAAUAAAAGGAAGGAAGUGACAGCUACAGUCAUGGUAAAAGUAAAUGCAGUCAAAGACCUCUGAUAUCACCUGAAGAGCCAGCAUUCUCAAGAUCUGUAUCAAAUAAAAAUAACAAGGACUGCUAAAAAGACUUUUUAUAACUUGCAAAUGUGCAGUCUGUGACAUAACUGUCUGAUCCAGGUAGUUUAGUGUUGACAAGAUGACACUUCAUCUCUAUAGUAGAGGACACAAGUUUGAAAUGUAUAUGUCAUUGUGAAGGCAAAAUGUUUAUGAAAAUAUUGUGUGUGUUUUCCAAAUAGAGAGACUGAAAGUGGGGAAUCAUCAAUUAGUGUUUUUGGAAUAAGUUACGGACAUCUGAAUAGUGAAGAUCUGUCCCUUUUUUGGAUUGCC